Molecule: ribosomal RNA, 520 nt
Filed under: uncultured Gammaproteobacteria bacterium
Lineage: Bacteria; Pseudomonadati; Pseudomonadota; Gammaproteobacteria
Description: bacterial SSU rRNA
Rfam family: Bacterial small subunit ribosomal RNA
Source: RNAcentral
GAGUUUGAUCUUGGCUCAGAUUGAACGCUGGCGGCGUGCUUAACACAUGCAAGUCGAGCGGUAACAGGCGUAGCAAUACGUGCUGACGAGCGGCGAACGGGUGAGUAAUGCUUCGGAAUCUUCCUCGUAGUGGGGAAUAACCUGGGGAAACUCAGGCUAAUACCGCAUACGAACUACGGUUGAAAGCAGGGGAUCGCAAGACCUUGCGCUAUGAGAUGAGCCGAAGUCGGAUUAGCUAGUUGGUGAGGUAAAGGCUCACCAAGGCGACGAUCCGUAGCUGGUCUGAGAGGACGACCAGCCACACUGGGACUGAGACACGGCCCAGACUCCUACGGGAGGCAGCAGUGGGGAAUAUUGGACAAUGGGGGCAACCCUGAUCCAGCGACGCCGCGUGUGUGAAGAAGGCCUGCGGGUUGUAAAGCACUUUUAGUGGGAUGAAAAGCCGAAGGCUAAUACCUUUCGGUCUUGACCUAACCCAAAGAAAAGCACCGGCUAACUCUGUGCCAGCCGCCGCCGUAAC